CUUGAUCGAGCCCAGCCACAGCGGCUCGUCCGCGGCCCGCUCGCGUCCGUAGGUGGCCAGCAGGGCCUGCGCCUC
Non-coding RNA from Streptomyces yokosukanensis, 75 nucleotides. It matches the Rfam family "ASpks TB sRNA". The record is from Rfam. NCBI's taxonomy places the organism in Bacteria, Bacillati, Actinomycetota, Actinomycetes, Kitasatosporales, Streptomycetaceae.